UGUAAGUUCAUGGUGUUUGUCCUAUUGUGAAUUGUGAUUAUCGGUACUGCGAUAAAUUCAGAAUACUGUAGUAGAUACCGUUUUGUCAAGAAAGCAGUACUAAACCUACAUAACCUCACUUCUACAUGUAAUGCAGAAAAUGCAAUUUCUCAUAAGAGGUUUAAUAUUUCUGAAUAUAAGGAUAUUAUGAAUGUAGAGACAAAAUGAUGAAUGUCCGGGCGCAACUAAAAAAAAAAAGAAGAAAUCGAGUUAGAAAUUGUGCGAGAUACGCAGAAAUUGGAUGAAUUGACAGAUAAUAAUGUUUAUUUGUCAGGAAGAGAAGACGUAAAAAAACAUGUAUGCAAUUUUGAAGAAAUUAUUAAUAAUGAACCAAAUUGCUUUCAAGUUUUCAGGGCAAGGAAAAAAAUAAGCUCUCUUUUAGUGAACUCACAAUUAACAAGGCUACAAUAUGUACCACACGGAAACGUCACAAAAACGCCACAACUACUGAAAUUUAAAAAAUGGUAGGACCUCAUUAAGCGCAGACAAAAGCAAGAAUGAAUUCUCAUCGAAAAAAACAUGAGGUAUGAUUUUUUUUAUUUUAAUUAAUUAUAUCGCUUUUCAAUGAAUUGGUUAUAGAGCAAAUAAUUAUUAAAUAAAUAUUUCUGUAUAACGAUUGUAAUGUAGCAGAACAUUGUUAAUUCCAUUGACAAUGUAUUUUUAUUUCAUUGUAAGUUGGCAGUGUAGUUUUAUGUUUAAAAAAUUUAUAUUGUGUUUCACAUCAGGUGAUUUUUUAAAUUUAUGCUCUGGUUGCCCAUGAAGCCUAUGCCAGCAGUUUCAGUUUCACUGCUGAGAUAAGUGUCAUGGGUAACUACAGCAGAAAUAAAAAAAAAUCACCUGGUACAAAUUUUCAACGAAUUGGUUCUAGGACAAAUAAUUUUUAAAUGUAUAAAUAUUGCCGCAACGUUUCAAAUACACUGUUAUUUCCAGUGACAAUGUUUUUUUGUGUUUAAUAAAUUUUAUAUUGUAUUCCA
This is a long non-coding RNA of Zophobas morio, 1013 nucleotides long. RefSeq lists it as uncharacterized. The transcript has 3 exons. The record is from RefSeq and is a predicted model, not a curated record. Lineage: Eukaryota; Metazoa; Arthropoda; Insecta; Coleoptera; Tenebrionidae.